AGCAGCCGCGGUAAUUCCAGCUCCAAUAGCGUAUAUUAAAGUUGUUGCAGUUAAAAAGCUCGUAGUUGAAUUUCGGGAUCAAUACAUCUGUCGUGCCUUUGGUACGUACGGGUGUAAUUGGUUUCUACCUUCUGAGGAUCCUUGAUGUCAUUAAUUUGGUGUCUUGGGGAAUCAGGACUGUUACCUUGAAAAAAUUAGAGUGUUUAAAGCAGGCAUACGCUUGAAUACAUUAGCAUGGAAUAAUGAAAUAGGACGUUCGAUUCUAUUUUGUUGGUUUUCUAGGAUCGACGUAAUGAUUAAUAGGGAUAGUUGGGGGCAUUAGUAUUCAAUUGUCAGAGGUGAAAUUCUUGGAUUUAUUGAAGACUAACUACUGCGAAAAGCAUUUGCCAAGGAUGUUUUCAUUAAUCAAGAACGAAAGUUAGGGGAUCGAAGACGAUCAGAUACCGUCGUAGUCUUAACCAUAAACUAUGCCGACUAGGGAUCGGAUGAUGUUAAUUUUUAAUGACUCAUUCGGCGCCUU
RNAcentral lists this ribosomal RNA (520 nucleotides) under uncultured Glomus. RNAcentral describes it as "SSU rRNA". It matches the Rfam family "Eukaryotic small subunit ribosomal RNA", at positions 569 to 1089 of the family's 1831-position model. Lineage: Eukaryota; Fungi; Glomeromycota; Glomeromycetes; Glomerales; Glomeraceae. The record is from RNAcentral.